This 367-nucleotide unclassified non-coding RNA is filed under the name Chytridiomycota sp. RNAcentral describes it as "partial contains small subunit ribosomal RNA, internal transcribed spacer 1, and 5.8S ribosomal RNA". The stretch from base 1 to 47 matches the Rfam family "Eukaryotic small subunit ribosomal RNA", at positions 1785 to 1831 of the family's 1831-position model. The record is from RNAcentral. Lineage: Eukaryota; Fungi; Chytridiomycota.
AAAGUCGUAACAAGGUAACCGUAGGUGAACCUGCGGUUGGAUCAUUAAUAAUGUUUUGUACCUGUAACAUCCUUGAUUUUUGAUCAAGGUAUGUGUACUAACAAAUUUUGUGUGAUAUGUUUUCUGUUUCUCGUGAAUCGAGUGAAGUAGUCCUUGUUAUAUGCCUGAUGGCCCAUAAGAAGGAAGAUACUACAUCCUGUGCAGUGCUUUACUAGCAUUGCACUGGUUCAUGAAAGGACUUGAAGCCAGCAAUGGCUUUUGUCCGAAACAAACAUCUAAAUUUUUCUGUUUUAUGUCUUAAUAUUUUCUAGCACAUUUAUUGUGAGAAAUUUUAAAACAACUUUUGACAACGGAUCUCUUGGUUCUC